ACUCCCAUGUUUAUUAGACUAUUAAAUACUUGACAAAUAAGGUACAUUUUGAACAGAUAAAAAAUUUGUGAUUAAUUUGCGAUUAAAUAUUUUAAUUUAUUGACAGCUCUAUUUAUAACCAAGGUUUAAGACUAUAUGAGUUGUAGUAUGGAAUAACGAUGAUGACUUCUGUUUUUUUACUUUACAUUGUGUGCUUUUGUUUAUUUAUUUCUGCUGCAGUGUUUCGGUUGAACUAAAGAGAUUCAUCAUCUCUUUGAGCGUGUUGAUCUUCAUUGUAAUGGUGGCCUUGUUCAUCUGGUUUAUGUUGAAAAGACACAAGCAGACCAAAGCAACAUCAUCUGCCAUGACAGCGAAGUCACAUGCUGAGAGUGAUGUGGACGUGACGUAUAGUUCCGUGGUUACCACGAGGCCACAACGUGUACGAAGGGUUGAAGCAAAUGAUGAGAAUGUUACAUACAGCACAUUGGCUUAGCACAUCACCCCUGCUUGUUACACCUUCGCACUACUUUAUCCUCUUCCACAUACUUUUCAAAGAAGAUGUUUGAUUGCCAAGUGUUUCGUUAUACCAUUGACAACACGAAUCUGGGGUUUAACUGUUUAACUGUAUUAUUUAUUAGGCCUUAAGCUCACAUUAAUACAUAACCUUGACACACAGUGUCGGGGUUUCCAUGUUUCCAAACAUCUUAAAUGUGUAAAGCUCACUCAGUGUACCGUAUCUCAUUAAAAAACAGCCACUUCUUAAAUACAA
This is a long non-coding RNA of Sebastes umbrosus (honeycomb rockfish), 748 nucleotides long. RefSeq lists it as uncharacterized. Lineage: Eukaryota; Metazoa; Chordata; Actinopteri; Perciformes; Sebastidae. The record is from RefSeq and is a predicted model, not a curated record. The transcript is spliced from 4 exons.